This is a non-coding RNA of Aeromicrobium choanae, 45 nucleotides long. The record is from Rfam. Lineage: Bacteria; Bacillati; Actinomycetota; Actinomycetes; Propionibacteriales; Nocardioidaceae.
UUGGUUCCGGUUCACGGUCCGCACCCGCGUCCCGACCCGGCGACC